Long non-coding RNA from Clupea harengus (Atlantic herring), 3465 nucleotides. NCBI's taxonomy places the organism in Eukaryota, Metazoa, Chordata, Actinopteri, Clupeiformes, Clupeidae. The record is from Ensembl.
CACCCAUCCACACGUGCACCCAUCCACCCCUUCACCCAUCCACACGUGCUCAUCCACCCCUUCAACCUUCACCCAUCUACCCAUCCACACGUGCACCCCUUCACCCAUCCACCCAUCCACCCAUCCACACGUGCUCAUCCACCUCUUCAACCUUCACCCAUCCACCCAUCCACCCAUCCACACGUGUACCCAUCCACCCCUUCACCCAUCCACCCAUCCACCCAUCCACAUGUGCACCCAUCCACCCAUCCACUCAGUGGUUGUUGUAGCCCUGCUCCGUAGCCGUCCAGAGGAUGUGUGUUUCACCCCCUCCAUCACUCCCAGUGAGCUCCGCAUCCGGGCCAGAUCUGGGCCAGAUACGGCUCAGAUCCGGCUCAGAGACAGCUGCCCUCCUCUGGGUCACACAGCAGUGAUGGGACGUGUGGCAUCACAGCAGAGAAGAGAAGAGAAGGCAUCACUGCAGCAACAUAAACCUCAGCUUCAGGCGUCUCAGUAGUGCCUUGUCUGGAACCCUACACCCCACACCCAAAGCCUUGUCUGGAACCCUACACCCCACACCCAAAGCCUUGUCUGGAACCCUCCACCCCACACCCAAAGCCUUGUCUGGAACCCGAACCCUCCACCCCACACCCAAAGCUCUCUCUCCCUCCUGUUGAUCUGUCCAAGACAUUCAGGUGAAUGUAUUUGUGUUGACAUUUAUGCAACGUGUGUUUAAAAAAAAAAGAAAUCCUGUACUUUUGUCUGGGAUUGAGUUUUUGAAAUGCUUUUUCUCGUCAUUCUUUCAAGCUAAUGCAAUGUAGUUAUACUGAAAGCCUGUAUCUUUGCAAAAAAAAAUGUAUAAUAACCAUUCAAAUAAGAUGUUUGUCAAUACAGUAUAUAUCACUCUUGUAUAAAUGUUUUUACGAAAUAUAUAUGAAUAUAAAUAUAUUUGUACGUCAUCCCUCAGUGACAUAAAGCUCUUAGUGUGUACAGUGUAUCCCCAUUACUGCUCGUGACCAUUAUCUUCAAGACCUGUACUUAAUGAAAUGAAAAAUGUUGUUGGGGAUUUGGACUUGGUGCUGUUUGCGUACUCUUUGAGCAUACUCAAAAAGCCCCUCUACAGACAGUCAUUUAGUGUGCAUACUCAAAAAGCCCCUCUGCAGACAGACAUCAUUUAGUGUCCAUACUCUUUGAGCAUACUCAAAAAGCCCCUCUGCAGACAGUCAUUUAGUGUGCAUACUCAAAAAGCCCCUCUGCAGACAAGUCAUUUAGUGUGCAUACUCUUUGAGCAUACUCAAAAACAGUCAUUUGCCAGACCAGGCACUCGUACCCUGUGCCAGUAGGCCAGGCCCUUAAUCUCAGUCAUUUCAGCUUGGACAUUUCCUGUGAUGGCAGUGGUCCUCUCGUGCAUUUCAAAUGCAGUUAAACUCAAAGAGUGCCAGCAGGUCAGCCCCAUCUCGACAGAGGUCAAAGGUCAGGCGAGUUCACACAUUUAGUGUUUAUUCCUCGUCGUUUUCUCAUCAAGCGUCAUAUUUCACCUUCUCGUUGACUGAAGAGCUUAGACUGACAGGCUGCUGGAAGCGUGUGCUGGAUGCGUGUGCGAGGCUGCUGGAAGCCUGUGAGAGGCUGCUGGAUGCGGUGUGUGUCCGUGACUGAGAUGCGAUGCGUGUUGCGUGUCCACGACUGAGAUGCAUUCUGUAUUUCCUUCCUGAGUGCAGCUGGCCAGACAGAGAGAAUGUGCAUGUUGAUGCCGUGUGUGUGUGUGUGUGUGUGUGUGUGUGUGUGUGUGUGUGUGUUGAUGCCGUGUGUUCUCCGUGACCUUCCGCUCUUUUCUGCAUUUUUACUGACUGCCUCGAGUCGAGUGUGGACUGACUGACUGACUGACUGACUGACUGACUGACUGACUGACUGACUGACUGACUGACUGACUGACUGACUGACUGUGUGUGUGACUGACUGACUGACUGACUGACUGACUGACUCUAUUGCUGACUGCAGUAAUUGGCAGCAGUCAGUGUUUGUUGCAGUUGGACUCCAGGACUGAUUCUUGUCAGUGAAACUCCAAAUAUGAAGAGCUUUGUGCAGGUUAGCUGUGUAGCUGAUGGCGGAUGUUGUGGCAGCUCAGUAUUCACUGAAGUUGAGUUGCGUUUGUUUCAACUCAUCCUUGCUUUUCCCACCUUUUCCUUUUUUAUGUUGGACAGAACCUAAAGUAGUAUUUUGAGAUCUUAUUUCUAUUUGUUCAUUUAUGAACUCAGAGACACUAAAGUGUAAAGUUAAUGCAUAAUAAAGAUGUUUUUUUGGCUUGUUUUGCACACUUUGAUGUUACCGUAGGCACAGUGUGUGGUGUGUGUGUGUAGUUUUUCCCCGGCGGAGUUGUUGUGAACGGAUGGCAAAGUUAAGUGGACUGGAUGGUGUUGGUGUGUAUUCCAGUGGGAUAUGUCACAUGGGCGGUCUUUGAGUCACUAACGGUGGUGUGUCAACUUGAGUCAGAGAAAUUGUUGGAUUGCGUAAGAAUAGACUGUGUGUGUGUGUGUGUGUGUGUGUGUGCUGUCAUUCCACCUAGCAAAUGGGUGCUCCCACAGGGCCAACAAUGCCGAGCCACAUUCUCUCCACAUUUUUUAUAGUUUCUUAUAAACCAUUUCUGCAACCAGUCAUUUAGAUGUUUUUUCCGUUGUAAUUGAAUCCCCCAGUCACACACUCCCAGUCAUUGAGAUGCAGGCAUUGUUUGGUAGAAUGUUCCAUUGUUUAGAGUUAUGAAACCGGCAUCUGAGACACGGAGACGGAGACGGAGACAAAAGGGGGAGGGAAAGCAGAGAUGUGCAGAAAUCUGUUUCCCAAAAAAACCGCAGCUUCAGCCUCUCCUGAAGUCUGUGGAGACCGACCGAGACGGGGAUUUGAAACAGGUUUGAACAAGUUCACGGCUCAAUGAGGUACAGCCUAGGUGGUAUUUAUCCCCCCCCCACGUGACUAAAAGUCCACACCUGGAUUAGAACAUCACCAUGGUUGCCAAAAAAAGACUCAACUAACACUGACAACAGUAAUGUGGUUCUUUUUUUUUUUUUGGUUUCUCUGACAUUUUAUUGUUGUUGUUGUGUUCAUCUCCCUAAAUGGAGCCCCAGUUUCUCCACCAACCCUCCUCAGUAGUCUUGACAUCACCAAAUUGAGAGAUGUUGACGAGAGAAGAAUUGGCUUUGCACACUCGAGCAAGCCUCAGGACAAGGGUUCUGCAGGCCCGUUCAAUGGCACCAAAGCUGUUUUGGACCCAAUCUCUCUUUGCCUUUUAUCCGUAAAAAAAAUGUAUGUCUGACCGUGGACUACUGGUGUCUUGUCGAGUAGUAGAAAAAGAAGUCCAUGAUUUAAAGUACUGUGCAUAGAAUCUUUUACUUUUCUGUUCAACACAAUAAGCUGAUUUGUUACUUCGACUGUAUUUUUGUGAAAUAAAAGGUAUUUUAUCACAGAACGGCUUUGUUUCUUUCUUGGCAAGAG